Non-coding RNA from Misgurnus anguillicaudatus (oriental weatherfish), 1017 nucleotides. The record is from the annotation of a RefSeq genome assembly. NCBI's taxonomy places the organism in Eukaryota, Metazoa, Chordata, Actinopteri, Cypriniformes, Cobitidae.
UGUCAUGCUUCAGUGAUGUGUGAGUGUUUAUAGUGCUGUGAGUUUAACACUUCAUGACUGAGAUCAGAACAGAACAGAAUCUUCAUCAUCACACAAACCAAAAGAACAACAAUGACUUUCAUCAUCAUCUUCAUCUGGACACUUUUUAUCCAAGGUGUCAGUGGACAGAUAACUGUGACUCAAACUCCCGCUGUUAAAACUGUUCAGACUGGUGAAUCUGUCACUAUAAACUGCAAAACAAAUACACAAGUGAGCAACUGGUGUACUGGUUCAUAUACUUGUAUGGCCUGGUACCUGCAGAAACCUGGAGAAGCUCCUAAACUCUUGAUUCAUUCUGCAAGUCAAAGACUCUCAAACACUCCAUCAAGAUUCAGUGGCAGCGGAUCAAACACAGAUUUCACUUUGACCAUCAGUGGAGUUCAGACUGAAGAUUCAGGAGAUUAUUACUGUCAGAGUUUUCACAGUAGUAGUGGCUAUUUUGUAUCACUGUGGUACACAUUCGGCAGCGGCACCAGACUGGAUGUUGGCAGUAACAGUCGUCCUAAAGUGAGCGUCCUGCCGCCGUCCAGUGAAGAGAUUUCCAGAAAGCAAGCAGCAACACUGAUGUGUGUGGCCAACAAGGGCUUCCCCUCAGACUGGAGUCUGAACUGGAAGGUGGACGGGAUCAGCAGCAGGUCUCAGUACAGCAGUGUUGCUCUCCUGGAGAAGGACGGUCUGUACAGCUGGAGCAGCAGUCUGACUCUCUCUGAGCAGGAGUGGAGCUCAGUGAUCUCAGUCAGCUGUGAGCUCACACAGAAAGACCAGCGUGAUAAAGUCACUGGAGAAUUGAGGAGAGAUCAGUGUUCACAGUAGAUCCACUCACUCUCUCCUCUGUCUCACAUCAAGACUAACAGACUAACUGUGUUUCUCUCUCUCAUCUCACAUCUCUUUUCACAAACAACACAAGUCUAUGUCUGCUUUAUUCAUUCACUCAUGAUUGUGUGACAAUUCAUCAAAUAAAAUCAGAUUCUAUCUUUA